AUUGAACGCUGGCGGCAGGCCUAACACAUGCAAGUCGAACGGUAACAGGAAGCAGCUUGCUGCUUCGCUGACGAGUGGCGGACGGGUGAGUAAUGUCUGGGAAACUGCCUGAUGGAGGGGGAUAACUACUGGAAACGGUAGCUAAUACCGCAUAACGUCGCAAGACCAAAGAGGGGGACCUUAGGGCCUCUUGCCAUCGGAUGUGCCCAGAUGGGAUUAGCUAGUAGGUGGGGUAACGGCUCACCUAGGCGACGAUCCCUAGCUGGUCUGAGAGGAUGACCAGCCACACUGGAACUGAGACACGGUCCAGACUCCUACGGGAGGCAGCAGUGGGGAAUAUUGCACAAUGGGCGCAAGCCUGAUGCAGCCAUGCCGCGUGUAUGAAGAAGGCCUUCGGGUUGUAAAGUACUUUCAGUGGGGAGGAAGGGAGUAAAGUUAAUACCUUUGCUCAUUGACGUUACCCGCAGAAGAAGCACCGGCUAACUCCGUG
Molecule: ribosomal RNA, 490 nt
Filed under: uncultured bacterium
Lineage: Bacteria
Description: partial 16S ribosomal RNA
Rfam family: Bacterial small subunit ribosomal RNA
Source: RNAcentral